This 197-nucleotide ribosomal RNA is filed under the name uncultured bacterium. Its description in RNAcentral is "partial 16S ribosomal RNA". It matches the Rfam family "Bacterial small subunit ribosomal RNA", at positions 1306 to 1500 of the family's 1533-position model. The record is from RNAcentral.
UGCAACUCGACUACAUGAAGCUGGAAUCGCUAGUAAUCGCGGAUCAGAAUGCCGCGGUGAAUACGUUCCCGGGUCUUGUACACACCGCCCGUCACACCAUGGGAGUCAGUAACGCCCGAAGCCGGUGACCCAACCUGAUCAGGAGGGAGCCGUCGAAGGCGGGACGGAUGACUGGGGUGAAGUCGUAACAAGGUAAC